Molecule: long non-coding RNA, 2170 nt
Filed under: Homo sapiens (human)
Lineage: Eukaryota; Metazoa; Chordata; Mammalia; Primates; Hominidae
Description: HSALNT0193250
Source: RNAcentral
ACUGCCAUCACUCUAGAUCAUGCCACUAGUAACUCCGGCCUGGACAGGAGCAGUACCCUCCACUCUUGCCUGAUGUGUAAUCCUUUGUCUACUGAUAUGGUCUGGAUCUGUGUCCCCACCCAAAUCUCACGUCAAAUUAUAAUCCCCAGUGUUGGAAAUGGGAUCUGGUGGAAGAUGAUUGGAUCAUGGGGGCAGUUUCUCAUGAAUGAUUUAGCACUAACCCCCUAGUGCUGAUGUUGUGAUAGAGUUCUCAUGAGAUCUGGUUGUUCAAAGUGUGUGGCACCUCCCACUCUCUCUUCCGCCUGCUCUGGCCAUGUAAGAUGUGCCUGCUUACCCUUUGCCUUCCGCCAUGAUUGUAAGUUUCCUGAGGCCUCCCCAGAAGCUGAUGCCACCAUGCUUCCUGUACAGCCUGCAGGACUGUGAGCCAAUGAAACCUCUUUUCUUUAUAAAUUACCCAGUCUCAGGUAUUUUUCUUUAUAGCAGUGUGAGAAUGCACUAAGACACCAACCCAGUAGAAAAUCAGAAGAUGAUAGUUUUUAAAUAUGGCUCAAAUUACUCUCCUUUCCCCCAGGCCUCCCACCCAAGCCCUUCGAAGACUUCCUGACACUCUUAAAGUCCAAAUCCUUCUCCAUGGCUCACUGUGUCCAUCCUUGACCAGUCCCCACCUGCCUCUCUGACCAGCUGCCCACCACCCUUCCCCAGCUCACCAGUCUCAGCCCCACUGGCCUCUUUUCAUUCUCCCAACACCACAUGCCUGUCCUAGCCUUAGGGCUUUUACAUGUAUGCCUCUACUGCCUAAAAUAGAAGUCUCCCAGAUCUUUGGAUUGCUGGCUCCCUCUGAUUCCUUAGGUCCCAGCUCAAAUAUCAUUCCCUCGAGUAGCCCCUCUCAGCCAUUCUAUGUCAUUGUCUCACUACUUUACUUUAUUUUCUUCACUGUAUCCAAAGCUAUUAUGUUAAUAUGGUUGUUUACCAGAACAUAAGCCCCAUAAGGGCAAGGAUGUUGUCUACCUUGUUUAUGGUUUGUAUCAGUCAGGGUACCAGCAAGGCGUCUCACUAUGUUGCCCAGGUUGUACUUGAACUCCUGGGCUAAAGUGAUCCUCCCACUCAGCCUCUAGAGUAGCUGGGCCUGCAGGCACACACCAGCACACCCAGUGAGAUGGCAUUCUUAAAGGAGUUUAACUGAAGGGAAUUUGAGAAAGGAACCAGGUACAGAAACGUGGGCAGGGUUAAGAGAACACAUGAUGCGGCACCCAGGGCCUACCACUGUGGAAAGCUAUCCCCACCGGUAGAACUGAAGGGGCAAGAGUGCAGAGCUGUGUUUGGAGAUGGUAAGAGCGGAGGCUAUGGGAGAGGAGCUACCCACCACAGCCAUGGCAACGCAGGGGACAAGCGGUGACUGGGUAAGUUGCCCCGCUUCUUCCUCCUCCCACCUUCAGAUUUCCUGCCAUUAUUUCCUGGCCAAGCCCAACUGGAAGCCAGAGAGCAAGAGAGCCUUACACAGUCCAUAGGGGUCAGACUCUGGGGCCCCAGAACAGGGCAGGAAGGGUGGGGCACAGGGCAGGAUCGGAGCAAACAGAGCCUAGCCAACCCUACAUUGCUUGCUACAUAGGUGCUCCCACAUGCUGAUUAAAUGAAUGGUUGAUCGAAUGAAUGAAUAAAUGAACAACAAAGAAAGCUGAAGAGAAAGACAAAGGGAUAUCCACAGGAAUUAACAUUUAGGAAGCUCCUAGUGGGUGCCAUGUGGGCAUCAUAUAUAAAUAAUCUUGUUUAAUCCACACAGGAAUCCUAUGAGAUACCUUACUGUCCCUGUAUAUGGCUGAUGAUCCUGAGACCUUAGAGGUUACCAUACCCUAUUAAAGAGAAAUCAUGGAGCCAGGAUUCCAACUGAGGUUCCAAGUGUUUUUCCCUUGCAUUACACUAAACAUAUAUUGCAUGUUUCCAUACUUGCAUCAGCCUGGAACCUGCAUCCCUCCCAUUCCUGCCUGGAAUGCUCUAUAGCCUGCCUAAAUCCCAGUUAACUUCUGGUUCAGCUCAUGCUCCUCCUCUUCACAGCCUGCCCUGGAUCACCACAGCCAAAGAUAGAUGGAUACCUUUGGGAAGCCCACUCAUUCAUCUAUCCAUUCGUCCAGCCAUAUCCAUCUAUCCAAGUCUGCACUACUUGGGAGCCCAG